GAUGAAGAACGCAGCGAAAUGCGAUACGUAGUGUGAAUUGCAGAAUUCAGUGAAUCAUCGAAUCUUUGAACGCACAUUGCACCUCUCGGUAUUCCGGGAGGUAUGCCUGUUCGAGCGUCAUUUACACCCUCAAGCCUAGCUUGGUGUUGGGCGUCUGUCCCGCCGUUCUCGCGCGCGGACUCGCCUCAAAGUCAUUGGCGGCGGUCGUGCCGGCCCCCUCGCGCAGCACAUUUGCGCUUCUCGGAGGCCCGGCGGAUCCGCGCUCCAGCAAGACCUUUCACGACUUGACCUCGGAUCAGGUAGGGAUACCCGCUGAACUUAAGCAUAUCAAUAAGCGGAGGA
Molecule: unclassified non-coding RNA, 342 nt
Filed under: soil metagenome
Description: partial contains 5.8S ribosomal RNA, internal transcribed spacer 2, and large subunit ribosomal RNA
Rfam family: 5.8S ribosomal RNA (bases 1-120)
Source: RNAcentral